AUUGAACGCUGGCGGCAUGCCUUACACAUGCAAGUCGAACGGCAGCACGGGAGCAAUCCUGGUGGCGAGUGGCGAACGGGUGAGUAAUAUAUCGGAACGUGCCCAGUCGUGGGGGAUAACGUAGCGAAAGCUGCGCUAAUACCGCAUACGAUCUAUGGAUGAAAGCGGGGGAUCGCAAGACCUCGCGCGAUUGGAGCGGCCGAUAUCAGAUUAGGUAGUUGGUGGGGUAAAAGCCUACCAAGCCUUCGAUCUGUAGCUGGUCUGAGAGGACGACCAGCCACACUGGAACUGAGACACGGUCCAGACUCCUACGGGAGGCAGCAGUGGGGAAUUUUGGACAAUGGGCGCAAGCCUGAUCCAGCAAUGCCGCGUGCAGGAUGAAGGCC
This 386-nucleotide ribosomal RNA is filed under the name uncultured bacterium. Its description in RNAcentral is "bacterial SSU rRNA". It matches the Rfam family "Bacterial small subunit ribosomal RNA", at positions 30 to 416 of the family's 1533-position model. The record is from RNAcentral.